AUGGUAUUACGGGACAGCAAUGGACAGCUCAUCUUCUCUGCGUACCGGGUGAUAUUCCACUGUAAUGAAGCUCUGGAAGCCGAACUACAUGCGAUAAUGCAAGGCAUGGCUUUGGCCAUCCAACAUUCUACACUUCCAGUGGUUGUUCAGUCGGACUCGGCGGAAGCACUCUCAAGUUUGGUGAGCAAGGGACUGGAGCGUUCGGCGUAUGGGCAUCUGGUUCGUGAAAUCAAGGAGUUAAUGUGUAAUAGGGAGUUUUAUCCUCAGAAAAUUCAUCGUAGUCAAAAUAGAGUUGCAGAUCGGUUGGCCAACUAUAGCCGUACGGAGAGUACUACUGCUGUAUGGUUAACUUCGGCUCCACCUUGUAUCGAGGAGCUUUGGCCUCUUGAUUGUAACACUAUUAUCCAGUAA
Molecule: ribosomal RNA, 411 nt
Filed under: Triticum aestivum (bread wheat)
Lineage: Eukaryota; Viridiplantae; Streptophyta; Magnoliopsida; Poales; Poaceae
Description: partial small subunit ribosomal RNA
Source: RNAcentral